This 253-nucleotide ribosomal RNA is filed under the name uncultured bacterium. RNAcentral's name for it is "partial 16S ribosomal RNA". It matches the Rfam family "Bacterial small subunit ribosomal RNA", at positions 524 to 776 of the family's 1533-position model. The record is from RNAcentral.
UACGAAGGGGGCUAGCGUUGCUCGGAAUUACUGGGCGUAAAGCGCGUGUAGGUGGCUUGUUAAGUCGGGUGUGAAAUCCCUCGGCUCAACCGAGGAAGUGCAUUCGAUACUGGCAAGCUCGAGUACCGGAGAGGGUCGUGGAAUUCCUGGUGUAGAGGUGAAAUUCGUAGAUAUCAGGAGGAACACCGGCGGCGAAGGCGGCGACCUGGACGAGUACUGACACUCAGACGCGAAAGCGUGGGGAGCAAACAGG